Molecule: long non-coding RNA, 374 nt
Organism: Carcharodon carcharias (great white shark)
Lineage: Eukaryota; Metazoa; Chordata; Chondrichthyes; Lamniformes; Lamnidae
Exons: 3
Source: RefSeq, a predicted model, not a curated record
CGGGUUAAAGCCCUGUAAACUGCUUGACGGGCGAACACCUUACACUCGUGUAAUUAAAGGGAUCAGCGAAGGAUUCUAAGUUCUCAUCUCCAGAGGUAAAUCAUGCUGGUGUAAUGACACCUGUCAAUCCAGGAUGACAUGUAAAUUAGAGGAUAAUGAGAUGGAAAUGAUUCACGGUGCCUCUAUUACCUCCAACACCUACAACGCCGGAAAUCAGGCAACACCAGGAGAAAGACACAGAAACAACUCUCUCAUCCCAAGAAUCUAUCUGAUGAAACUUCUCUGCACCUCUUUGAAGGCAAAUAACCCUUCCUUAGGUAAGGAGCUACAGACGUCACAUAGCAGAUGCAGACGAGUUGCAGUGAACGUGUGAG